GAUUUGGUGUCUGGCUUGGCAAGACUGAGGCUCUGCACACAGAUGUUUGGGAUCUAUGUGAGUACAACUUGAAAACUAUUUAAAAUAUCUAGGACAAAUAAAUUGUGUUCUCUCCUGAUUUUGAUAUUUGAUAGGAAAAGAAGAAAAAUAAAAGGAAAUAUGAAAUUCAAAAGUAAAAUCAAUUUCAAGGAAACACAACUUAGAAAUUGGAAAAUCUGUGUUCAGUAUCAUGGAGAUGGAUAAUCUUCUUCCAAAAGAUGGAGAAUUACUGAUUAAUAAGAAGAAAAAGAAUGAGCAAUGAGAAUGUAAUUCAAGAUGGUUAUAAUAGUCAAAGAAAACAGAGGAAUGGGACCUGGUAUCUCUGAUCCCAGUGAGAUGCUGUACUGAAGACCACAAGAUGUUUAUUUCCUACCGUAUUCCAACAGCACAAAAUCACCUUCCUGUAUUGGUUUUCCUAUCUGAUACUCAAUGGCAUUGACCCAGAGUAACAACCAGCGUGGUGUCCUGAGCUUGCUGUUGGUCUCAUCAUCAUGCCUCGUAAGAAAUCUGAUUCUGUCUUCAAGAAUAUGGACCUGUUUCAAAGUUCAAUUUAAGGGCCAAGGAUCUAUCUCAGCUGCACAAGCACCUGCCUGGCAAGCACAAGGUCCUGAGUUCGACUCCUGGUACAAAAGCAACAAAAACAAAAUACAAAAAAAUAAAGUUCAAUUUAAUCACUGAGUCUGCAACUUCCAAUUUUGAACUUCUAGUCUGAACAUCGGAAUUUCAAUUUUCAAGGCAUCUAAUUAGAUGAAAAACGCCUACUUCCUAAUGGAGGAUGGUACAGUACUUCACCAAUAUGGUCUUCACCAAUGGAUUUCGUUUUGUUUCUAGCUCCUAAUUUACUUGAUUUGCUCUUUAGCUCUGCUGUGAUUUGUACCU
This 918-nucleotide long non-coding RNA is filed under the name Chinchilla lanigera (long-tailed chinchilla). RNAcentral describes it as "lncRNA (ENSCLAG00000025560.1)". The record is from RNAcentral. Lineage: Eukaryota; Metazoa; Chordata; Mammalia; Rodentia; Chinchillidae.